RNAcentral lists this ribosomal RNA (253 nucleotides) under uncultured Acinetobacter sp. RNAcentral describes it as "partial 16S ribosomal RNA". It matches the Rfam family "Bacterial small subunit ribosomal RNA", at positions 524 to 776 of the family's 1533-position model. The record is from RNAcentral. Lineage: Bacteria; Pseudomonadati; Pseudomonadota; Gammaproteobacteria; Moraxellales; Moraxellaceae.
UACGUAGGGUGCAAGCGUUAAUCGGAAUUACUGGGCGUAAAGCGCGCGUAGGUGGCCAAUUAAGUCAAAUGUGAAAUCCCCGAGCUUAACUUGGGAAUUGCAUUCGAUACUGGUUGGCUAGAGUAUGGGAGAGGAUGGUAGAAUUCCAGGUGUAGCGGUGAAAUGCGUAGAGAUCUGGAGGAAUACCGAUGGCGAAGGCAGCCAUCUGGCCUAAUACUGACACUGAGGUGCGAAAGCAUGGGGAGCAAACAGG